RNAcentral lists this ribosomal RNA (336 nucleotides) under Triticum aestivum (bread wheat). Its description in RNAcentral is "partial small subunit ribosomal RNA". The record is from RNAcentral. Lineage: Eukaryota; Viridiplantae; Streptophyta; Magnoliopsida; Poales; Poaceae.
AUGGCUCCCUUCCGGCACAACUCGCUGUCGACAACCUCCUUUGACAGCUCGCCUUUGAGGCCCACCAGACUCACACGACGACGCUGGCCGUCCACAGCCACCACCACAGGCCGUUCACAGCCACCACUCAUGGCCGUUCACAAAAAACACCCCAAAGUGCAUACCAUACAUGAGGACAAGGGUGAGGAGCCAGGAGGAGGCAGCAGGAAAGAGCUAAGCGAUCUUCAGUUCACGUUUGCUACGAUUUUCAGUCCAGCCGGCUUACUAUUUCAUCACCAGGGAAAAGAUAACAAAAAGGGACGCGGCGAUUCGGUGCUCAGGCUCAUCUUCACCUGA